ACACUGAUUUUCUUGUUCGGGU
RNAcentral lists this non-coding RNA (22 nucleotides) under Arabidopsis thaliana (thale cress). Lineage: Eukaryota; Viridiplantae; Streptophyta; Magnoliopsida; Brassicales; Brassicaceae. The record is from RNAcentral.